This is a non-coding RNA of Stegodyphus mimosarum, 73 nucleotides long. Lineage: Eukaryota; Metazoa; Arthropoda; Arachnida; Araneae; Eresidae. The record is from Rfam.
GCCUUUGUGAUGUAGUGGUCAGCAUGCUCGGCGUGUAUUUCAGAAGUCCAUGGUUCGAGUCCCGGCGAGGGCA